UACGGAGGGAGCUAGCGUUGUUCGGAAUUACUGGGCGUAAAGCGCGCGUAGGCGGCUUUGUAAGUUAGAGGUGAAAGCCCGGAGCUCAACUCCGGAACUGCCUUUAAAACUGCAUCGCUUGAAUCCAGGAGAGGUGAGUGGAAUUCCGAGUGUAGAGGUGAAAUUCGUAGAUAUUCGCAAGAACACCAGUGGCGAAGGCGGCUCACUGGCCCGAUACUGACGCUGAGGUGCGAAAGCGUGGGGAGCAAACAGG
This 253-nucleotide ribosomal RNA is filed under the name uncultured bacterium. Its description in RNAcentral is "partial 16S ribosomal RNA". It matches the Rfam family "Bacterial small subunit ribosomal RNA", at positions 524 to 776 of the family's 1533-position model. The record is from RNAcentral.